This 1047-nucleotide long non-coding RNA is filed under the name Marmota monax (woodchuck). The record is from RNAcentral. Lineage: Eukaryota; Metazoa; Chordata; Mammalia; Rodentia; Sciuridae.
GACAGGGCUGGGCAGGGCGGCUGAUAGAGGAGGGUGUAGCCAAUGGCCCUUUGGGGCUGGGUGUGUUUGCCCUGAGAUAGGCUUAUCAGGAAGGAUGGUAGUCCAGUCCCUGGGGAAGAAGUUAAGCUCCCUAAGUGUGCUAGCUUUGGGUGGUUUUCAGAUGCUUCUCAUGCAGGGCAACUGCUUAUUUUAACAUAAAAACAUUGCAUUUUGUUUGAGGCAUCAGCUCUACUUACUGAGAAAUGAUUGCCUCUCUUUGUACUGAUUGCAGAAAUAAAAUAGAUCUCCCAAAAAUGUGUUCUGGGCAAAAUCCGGUGUCCUUUUCUCAGUUUCCAUUUUUUGCAGCACUGGGGAUCAAACCCAGGGCCCCACUUUUCCUGUGAAAGCGCUUUGCCACUGAGCUACUUCCCCAGCCCUUAAUUUUUCCUUUUCACUCCGAGUAAGACAGGGAUGGCUUUCUCUGGAAACUCUUUUCCCCUGACUUCUGGGAUGUUCAACUUCUGCUGUCCUUUGGUCACUGCUUUUUCUCCUGUUACAUCUGCUCCCUUCCUACUGUCUCAGAUUACCUGCUCUUCCCCUUCUACCCUUCCUCAAGCAGUUUGCAUUGUCACAGGGUCACUCUGGCCUUUGGGGAAGUGGCUUUCACCUCUGGCUGGAGCCCUGGCCUGGUACUUCCUCUUCCCUCUGACUCAGAGGGCGCCAUGGAAAACCCCAGUGCCUCCCAGUUCUUCUGGAAGGGGCCCCCGCCCCCAUGUUCCUCUGCUCAUAGUGAAAAGGCACGUCCUGGGCUUGCCUCCUGAUGUCCUUUCUCAGUUGCCUCCUGCCAUCCGACCCGCCCUGUGCUUCUCUCCAGGGUCUCUGGGACUGCAUUCUUCCUCUGCCUCUGUGCUUAAUGUGCUGGUUUUCACACAGUUUUGCAACUUCUCUGACACUCUUCCCAUACGACGGUGACGUUGAAUUCCCCUCCUCUUGAGUAUGGGGCAGCUCCCAUGUGAAGAAUAGUUGGUGGCAGGGAUGCUGCUUUCUGGUGACCUUAGGCAACGUGCC